UUUCUUGGAAAAUAAUAAUUCUAUGUGCAUGUAGGGAAAUGACAGAAGUUCAGGCUUUCACUUUAAUUCCAUCAGGAUUUAAAAUGACUACAGAGGAGAUUUCGAGGAGACCAGCAUUAUUGCAUUAUUCUUUACUGUAUUUAUGUAUCAUGUUUAUUGUGUUACUGACUGUAGAGACAAAUCUCAUCACUUAUUCAACAUUUGGUGUUAUUUCUCCUACAGACUUCUGCAGUGUGUGCUGUACACUUUGCUCAGAGUCAAAGAAGUGUGUGUGUGUGUGUGUGUGUGUGUGUUUAGGUUCAUUGUAGUGUAACAGAGGUUUUUGUACGACGGUUUCAUUAGAAUGUAUCACUGUGGAACACUUUUGGUGGAGGAACAAAACUCAUUAUGAAAACUGGACCGAUGGUGAAGCCCUCCGUGUCGCUGCUCCCUCCCUCCUCUCUGCAGCCCUCUGAGGGUUCGGCCUCUGCUCUGCCUGCUCUCUGACUAUUCUCCACAGGGGGCGCUGCCGAGCUGGACCGUGGACGGUGUCGAGGUGAACGAAGGUGUUCUGACCAGCACAGAAGAUCAGAAGAACGGUGUCUACAGCCGCAGCAGCACCCUGACCCUCAGCAAAGAACGCUGGGAAGAGGCCGAGGUGUUCGGCUGUAUCGUCUCUCACCACGACACCACUCAGAUCACCUCGUUCCGAAAGAGCCGCUGUGAAGUCCACUAGAAUUCAAGUGUACACUUUAACACAUGCUUAGCAGUCUGAGGUGGUGUCAGUGGUGUAGCUGUGCUGAAAUAAAGCUUCAAUCUGGAAAUCA
This is a long non-coding RNA of Silurus meridionalis, 806 nucleotides long. RefSeq lists it as uncharacterized. The record is from RefSeq and is a predicted model, not a curated record. Lineage: Eukaryota; Metazoa; Chordata; Actinopteri; Siluriformes; Siluridae. The transcript is spliced from 2 exons.